AUACUUAUCUAGACGAGGUCAAUGGUCGAUCAAAAAGGCUCAACGACCUAGGCUAGUGACCUUCAUUGCACUUUGAAGGAGCAUCCAACUAAAGUAUGCCCAAGUGGUCGAGUCUAUAUCAUAAUUUGUGGUCAAGUUUUAUAAAAUUA
This is a non-coding RNA of Solanum tuberosum (potato), 149 nucleotides long. The record is from Rfam. NCBI's taxonomy places the organism in Eukaryota, Viridiplantae, Streptophyta, Magnoliopsida, Solanales, Solanaceae.